AUUGAACGCUGGCGGCAGGCCUAACACAUGCAAGUCGAGCGGAUGAAGGGAGCUUGCUCCUGGAUUCAGCGGCGGACGGGUGAGUAAUGCCUAGGAAUCUGCCUGGUAGUGGGGGAUAACGUCCGGAAACGGGCGCUAAUACCGCAUACGUCCUGAGGGAGAAAGUGGGGGAUCUUCGGACCUCACGCUAUCAGAUGAGCCUAGGUCGGAUUAGCUAGUUGGUGGGGUAAAGGCCUACCAAGGCGACGAUCCGUAACUGGUCUGAGAGGAUGAUCAGUCACACUGGAACUGAGACACGGUCCAGACUCCUACGGGAGGCAGCAGUGGGGAAUAUUGGACAAUGGGCGAAGGCCUGAUCCAGCCAUGCCGCGUGUGUGUAGAAGGUCUUCGGAUUGUAAAGCACUUUAAGUUGGGAGGAAGGGCAGUAAGUUAAUACCUUGCUGUUUUGACGUUACCAACAGAAUAAGCACCGGCUAACUUCGUG
This 484-nucleotide ribosomal RNA is filed under the name uncultured bacterium. RNAcentral's name for it is "partial 16S ribosomal RNA". It matches the Rfam family "Bacterial small subunit ribosomal RNA", at positions 30 to 507 of the family's 1533-position model. The record is from RNAcentral.